RNAcentral lists this ribosomal RNA (2767 nucleotides) under Escherichia coli. Its description in RNAcentral is "partial 23S ribosomal RNA". It matches the Rfam family "Bacterial large subunit ribosomal RNA". The record is from RNAcentral. Lineage: Bacteria; Pseudomonadati; Pseudomonadota; Gammaproteobacteria; Enterobacterales; Enterobacteriaceae.
UUCGACACACUAUCAUUAACUGAAUCCAUAGGUUAAUGAGGCGAACCGGGGGAACUGAAACAUCUAAGUACCCCGAGGAAAAGAAAUCAACCGAGAUUCCCCCAGUAGCGGCGAGCGAACGGGGAGGAGCCCAGAGCCUGAAUCAGUGUGUGUGUUAGUGGAAGCGUCUGGAAAGGCGCGCGAUACAGGGUGACAGCCCCGUACACAAAAAUGCACAUAUUGUGAGCUCGAUGAGUAGGGCGGGACACGUGGUAUCCUGUCUGAAUAUGGGGGGACCAUCCUCCAAGGCUAAAUACUCCUGACUGACCGAUAGUGAACCAGUACCGUGAGGGAAAGGCGAAAAGAACCCCGGCGAGGGGAGUGAAAAAGAACCUGAAACCGUGUACGUACAAGCAGUGGGAGCCUCUUAAUGGGGUGACUGCGUACCUUUUGUAUAAUGGGUCAGCGACUUAUAUUCUGUAGCAAGGUUAACCGAAUAGGGGAGCCGAAGGGAAACCGAGUCUUAACUGGGCGUUAAGUUGCAGGGUAUAGACCCGAAACCCGGUGAUCUAGCCAUGGGCAGGUUGAAGGUUGGGUAACACUAACUGGAGGACCGAACCGACUAAUGUUGAAAAAUUAGCGGAUGACUUGUGGCUGGGGGUGAAAGGCCAAUCAAACCGGGAGAUAGCUGGUUCUCCCCGAAAGCUAUUUAGGUAGCGCCUCGUGAAUUCAUCUCCGGGGGUAGAGCACUGUUUCGGCAAGGGGGUCAUCCCGACUUACCAACCCGAUGCAAACUGCGAAUACCGGAGAAUGUUAUCACGGGAGACACACGGCGGGUGCUAACGUCCGUCGUGAAGAGGGAAACAACCCAGACCGCCAGCUAAGGUCCCAAAGUCAUGGUUAAGUGGGAAACGAUGUGGGAAGGCCCAGACAGCCAGGAUGUUGGCUUAGAAGCAGCCAUCAUUUAAAGAAAGCGUAAUAGCUCACUGGUCGAGUCGGCCUGCGCGGAAGAUGUAACGGGGCUAAACCAUGCACCGAAGCUGCGGCAGCGACACUAUGUGUUGUUGGGUAGGGGAGCGUUCUGUAAGCCUGUGAAGGUGUACUGUGAGGUAUGCUGGAGGUAUCAGAAGUGCGAAUGCUGACAUAAGUAACGAUAAAGCGGGUGAAAAGCCCGCUCGCCGGAAGACCAAGGGUUCCUGUCCAACGUUAAUCGGGGCAGGGUGAGUCGACCCCUAAGGCGAGGCCGAAAGGCGUAGUCGAUGGGAAACAGGUUAAUAUUCCUGUACUUGGUGUUACUGCGAAGGGGGGACGGAGAAGGCUAUGUUGGCCGGGCGACGGUUGUCCCGGUUUAAGCGUGUAGGCUGGUUUUCCAGGCAAAUCCGGAAAAUCAAGGCUGAGGCGUGAUGACGAGGCACUACGGUGCUGAAGCGACAAAUGCCCUGCUUCCAGGAAAAGCCUCUAAGCAUCAGGUAACAUCAAAUCGUACCCCAAACCGACACAGGUGGUCAGGUAGAGAAUACCAAGGCGCUUGAGAGAACUCGGGUGAAGGAACUAGGCAAAAUGGUGCCGUAACUUCGGGAGAAGGCACGCUGAUAUGUAGGUGAAGCGACUUGCUCGUGGAGCUGAAAUCAGUCGAAGAUACCAGCUGGCUGCAACUGUUUAUUAAAAACACAGCACUGUGCAAACACGAAAGUGGACGUAUACGGUGUGACGCCUGCCCGGUGCCGGAAGGUUAAUUGAUGGGGUUAGCGGUAACGCGAAGCUCUUGAUCGAAGCCCCGGUAAACGGCGGCCGUAACUAUAACGGUCCUAAGGUAGCGAAAUUCCUUGUCGGGUAAGUUCCGACCUGCACGAAUGGCGUAAUGAUGGCCAGGCUGUCUCCACCCGAGACUCAGUGAAAUUGAACUCGCUGUGAAGAUGCAGUGUACCCGCGGCAAGACGGAAAGACCCCGUGAACCUUUACUAUAGCUUGACACUGAACAUUGAGCCUUGAUGUGUAGGAUAGGUGGGAGGCUUUGAAGUGUGGACGCCAGUCUGCAUGGAGCCGACCUUGAAAUACCACCCUUUAAUGUUUGAUGUUCUAACGUGGGCCCCUUACCGGGGUUGCGGACAGUGUCUGGUGGGUAGUUUGACUGGGGCGGUCUCCUCCUAAAGAGUAACGGAGGAGCACGAAGGUUGGCUAAUCCUGGUCGGACAUCAGGAGGUUAGUGCAAUGGCAUAAGCCAGCUUGACUGCGAGCGUGACGGCGCGAGCAGGUGCGAAAGCAGGUCAUAGUGAUCCGGUGGUUCUGAAUGGAAGGGCCAUCGCUCAACGGAUAAAAGGUACUCCGGGGAUAACAGGCUGAUACCGCCCAAGAGUUCAUAUCGACGGCGGUGUUUGGCACCUCGAUGUCGGCUCAUCACAUCCUGGGGCUGAAGUAGGUCCCAAGGGUAUGGCUGUUCGCCAUUUAAAGUGGUACGCGAGCUGGGUUUAGAACGUCGUGAGACAGUUCGGUCCCUAUCUGCCGUGGGCGCUGGAGAACUGAGGGGGGCUGCUCCUAGUACGAGAGGACCGGAGUGGACGCAUCACUGGUGUUCGGGUUGUCAUGCCAAUGGCACUGCCCGGUAGCUAAAUGCGGAAGAGAUAAGUGCUGAAAGCAUCUAAGCACGAAACUUGCCCCGAGAUGAGUUCUCCCUGACUCCUUGAGAGUCCUGAAGGAACGUUGAAGACGACGACGUUGAUAGGCCGGGUGUGUAAGCGCAGCGAUGCGUUGAGCUAACCGGUACUAAUGAACCGUGAGGCUUAACCUU